This 2342-nucleotide unclassified non-coding RNA is filed under the name Stegodyphus dumicola. RNAcentral describes it as "zinc finger protein 2 homolog, transcript variant X5". The record is from RNAcentral. Lineage: Eukaryota; Metazoa; Arthropoda; Arachnida; Araneae; Eresidae.
AAGUCUAAUGAGAAAAUGUAUCUAUUUUUUUACUGUGACGUGAAUGAUUACUGUAACAGUAUUUGUAUAAAAAGCAUUACUCUAUUUACCGCUGCAACGUAAGACCGUUAGUAGUUGGUAGGAAAUGGCGUGAAAUGUGUGUUUGAAAAUUGUUAUAUGGCCUACAGCGGUAAUAUGAGAAUUGUUUUCAAUGCAUGGGUAACAAACAAUAGCAAUAUGUAUUAAUGUAAUACAUUUAUAUGUGAUAAUAUAUGAAGCAAUAUAUUGGAAGUAUUUCUUGGGGGGAAAAAAAGGAGCAUUUGAAAAUUCAUAGAAAUUUGAACGAAACGUAUAAAGCUCCUUAUACAUUUUUCACUGAGUUUUCCAGGCAGAAAUUUAAAUUUCUUGACGUUUAAAGUUGUUUAUGGACCAGCGGCUGUUUCCAUAUAAUACAUUUUAUUCGGAAAUGGAAGUAUAGCUGAAAUAUGUAUGAUAUUAAGCCCCCUUCUUCAUGUUUUAAAUCUUCUAAUGACACUUGAAUGUUUAUCACUGAAUUAUAAGACAAGGAAUACUUCUCAGUGGAUAGCCACAAAUAGAAAUCAAGAAUAAAUGGCUGGUUUUACAGAAGACAAUUGAUUCAUCAUGUACCAAAUAAAUUUUUGUAUAAAUAUGAAGAAACAUGCAAACUAUAGAAUGGUGUUCUUUUGCAUGUUUGUUUUGUUCCUUAUGGCAUUGGCUAUAUUUUUGUCAUACCUGUUAGUUGAAGAAUGUCUUUAUUGUAAUUAAUGAUUUUUUAAAAAAGGAAGAGCUAUGUGUAAUGUUAGUUUAAAAGAUAUAAUAGGACAUUAACAUGAUAUUACUCUGUAUUCGUAUUGUGUCUUGUUUGUGUAGGAGCUGCUUGUGUAUGUCUUCUGAUUUUCAAGUUGGAGGAGUUUCACAAGAAGUGAAUUCACUUAAAAUUGUAUGUCAAAAUUUGCAAAAUAUUUACAGAAAUUUGUGAAAUGAUGAAACAAAUUUAUGUUGAUAAGUAUUUAAGUAUACAAUGUUAUGAAUGUGUUAAAUAAUUUAAAGACUGUCUUCAAUGAACUGGUUAUGAUAUAUGCUCAGGCAGCCUUCAGUGAUAACUGAUAAAUCUUAUGCAGCGAAGAGGAAAGUUCAAGGAGGAUUGGCAAUUGAAGUUGAUCAGUAAGCCUGUCAAGACUGCUUCUAGAGCUGGAAACAACACGAGUAAUAGUGUAUCAAUGGAGAAAAAUACUGUGAAACGCAUAACAACUUUAUAAAGUUAUUUAAAAAUAUAUAUAUAAAGAUUCAGACAAAUAUAAUGUGAAUUUUGCUUUUGAGCUGCGAUAGAUGUACUAAAGACGUUGAUGAAGUUGUCAUUCAGCGACCUGUGAUGUUGAAUAGUGAUCAGUUUGUUUGUUUUCAUUGUCCAUUUUCUUCAAAUAAAGCAGAACACAUUCGCGAACAUUUGCAGACUCACUCAGAAUGCCGCCGUAAGUCAUUUUCUCGCAAGGCUUCAGGUGCAAAUCGAUUUACUUGCUACCAGUGUUCUUUUACAACUGAUACUGAAAAGGCGAUUUCAGAGCAUCUGCAAAGUCAUGUAGCUAAACAUCAUUAUAAUUGCUACAUGUGUGACCAGAAAUUUCACUUUAAACAUGAAUUAACUUUGCAUCUUAAAACACAUGCAAGUUGUCAAACAUUCAGGUGUGAUUUGUGCUCACGAGAAUUCUCUCGUCUUAGUAUGCUGUCUUAUCACCGAAAGUAUCAUACAGAUAAAAAAUUGUUUGAAUGUCGUUAUUGCCAUAAAGUGUUUUGCGAUAUUAUUUCAUUCAACCAGCAUGAAAGCAUCCAUACUGACACUAAUUAUGUCAACAGAAAAUAAAUACUUUCUGGACAAGGUGAAUUUCAACAUACACGAUUUAAUUUUAACAUUAACAGCAUUAAUUUCAACCAAAUAGUUUUUUAUAUCCCUUCUGGAUCAAUGUACCUGCAGUUCAGUUUAAAUUUUUUUUUCAUAAUGUUUUAUAUAUAUUUAUGUUGUUCUUGCAAAAAAAAAAAUGUUUACAGUUUGUUCUUGUAAUAUAUUUGACUUGUGAAUGUAAUUCAUAGUGUUUAAGGUCAUAUAAGUGUUAUAUAAUGGUUCUAAAAGACUUCAAACAUUAAUAAAAAUUCUUUUAUUCAGCCUCAUAUUGACUAAAUAUUUUUUCUUUUAAAACAUGAGCAUAUAUAAAUUUGAAAGCAUCGAACUUUAAAAUAAUUUGAAGGAUAAAUAUUGCUCAUUAACCUUUUUCUUCAUUAUGUAAUUUUGAAACAGUGUUGUAUUGUGCUGUGUAUGCCCGAAAUUAAACAUAUUUUUAGAAAAA